Molecule: non-coding RNA, 111 nt
Filed under: Goniomonas pacifica
Lineage: Eukaryota; Cryptophyceae; Goniomonadida; Goniomonadaceae
Source: RNAcentral
GAGCUGGCGGGUAGGUGGCACCGAGCCGGGCAGCGAUGCCCGGCCCAGAGGAAUGGCGGUCACGCCGGGGGCGACCCCGGUGCACAGAAUCCGGCCUAUCGGCUUGCUUCA